Molecule: ribosomal RNA, 1483 nt
Filed under: uncultured Rikenella sp.
Lineage: Bacteria; Pseudomonadati; Bacteroidota; Bacteroidia; Bacteroidales; Rikenellaceae
Description: bacterial SSU rRNA
Rfam family: Bacterial small subunit ribosomal RNA
Source: RNAcentral
GUUUGAUCCNGGCUCAGGAUGAACGCUAGCGGCAGGCUUAACACAUGCAAGUCGAGGGGCAGCACGAGUAGCAAUACUUGGUGGCGACCGGCGCACGGGUGCGUAACGCGUAUGCAACCUACCCUAUAUUGGUGAAUAACCCGGAGAAAUUCGGACUAAUACGCCGUAAGUAAUUUUAAGGCAUCUUAGAAUUAUGAUAGAUUUAUUGUUAUAGGAUGGGCAUGCGUGAUAUUAGUUAGAUGGUAGGGUAACGGCCUACCAUGACUAUGAUAUCUAGGGGUUCUGAGAGGAAGGUCCCCCACACUGGUACUGAGACACGGACCAGACUCCUACGGGAGGCAGCAGUGAGGAAUAUUGGUCAAUGGGCGGAAGCCUGAACCAGCCAUGCCGCGUGCAGGAAGACGGCUCUAUGAGUUGUAAACUGCUUUUGUACGAGGGUAAUAUCAUCCACGUGUGGGUGAUUGAAAGUAUCGUACGAAUAAGGAUCGGCUAACUCCGUGCCAGCAGCCGCGGUAAUACGGAGGAUCCGAGCGUUAUCCGGAUUUAUUGGGUUUAAAGGGUGCGUAGGCGGAUUGGUAAGUUAGAGGUGAAAUUCCAUUGCUCAACGAUGGACUUGCCUCUGAUACUGUCAGUCUAGAGUGUAAUUGAAGGAGGCGGAAUGUGUGGUGUAGCGGUGAAAUGCUUAGAGAUCACACAGAACACCGAUUGCGAAGGCAGCUUUCUAAGUUAUAACUGACGCUGAUGCACGAAAGCGUAGGGAUCAAGCAGGAUUAGAUACCCUGGUAGUCCACGCCGUAAACGAUGAUAACUCGUUGCUGGCGAUACACAGUCAGUGACCAAGGGAAACCGAUAAGUUAUCCACCUGGGGAGUACGUUCGCAAGAAUGAAACCCAAAGGAAUUGACGGGGGCCCGCACAGGCGGAGGAACAUGUGGUUUAAUUCGAUGAUACGCGAGGAACCUUACCCGGGCUUGAAAGUUAUUGACCGCUGGUGAAGGCCGGCUUUCCUUCGGGACAAGAAACUAGGUGCUGCAUGGUUGUCGUCAGCUCGUGCCGUGAGGUGUCGGGUUAAGUCCCAUAACGAGCGCAACCCCUAUCGUUAGUUGCUAGCAGGUAAUGCUGAGGACUCUAGCGAGACUGCCGGUGUAAACCGAGAGGAAGGUGGGGAUGACGUCAAAUCAGCACGGCCCUUACGUCCGGGGCGACACACGUGUUACAAUGGAUGGUACAGAGAGCAGCGACAUGGCGACAUGAAGCGAAUCUCAAAAAGCCAUUCUCAGUUCGGAUUGCAGGCUGAAACUCGCCUGCAUGAAGUUGGAUUCGCUAGUAAUCGCAUAUCACCAUGAUGCGGUGAAUGCGUUCCCGGCCUUGUACAUACCGCCCGUCAAGCCAUGGAAGUUUGGGGUGCCUGAAGUGCGUGAGCGAAAGCAGCGUCCUAGGGCAAAACAGAUAACUAGGGCUAAGUCGUAACAAGGUAACCGUAA